AGAGUUUGAUCAUGGCUCAGGAUGAACGCUAGCUACAGGCUUAACACANGCAAGUCGAGGGGAAACGACAUCGAAAGCUUGCUCUUGAUGGGCGUCGACCGGCGCACGGGUGAGUAACGCGUAUCCAACCUGCCCACCACUUGGGGAUAACCUUGCGAAAGUAAGACUAAUACCCAAUGAUAUCUCUAGAAGACAUCUGAAAGAGAUUAAAGAUUUAUCGGUGAUGGAUGGGGAUGCGUCUGAUUAGCUUGUUGGCGGGGUAACGGCCCACCAAGGCAACGAUCAGUAGGGGUUCUGAGAGGAAGGUCCCCCACAUUGGAACUGAGACACGGUCCAAACUCCUACGGGAGGCAGCA
RNAcentral lists this ribosomal RNA (356 nucleotides) under uncultured bacterium. Its description in RNAcentral is "bacterial SSU rRNA". It matches the Rfam family "Bacterial small subunit ribosomal RNA", at positions 8 to 353 of the family's 1533-position model. The record is from RNAcentral.